Molecule: long non-coding RNA, 1196 nt
Filed under: Daucus carota (carrot)
Lineage: Eukaryota; Viridiplantae; Streptophyta; Magnoliopsida; Apiales; Apiaceae
Description: long non-coding RNA (DCAR_LNC000412)
Source: RNAcentral
UGUUAAUAUAAUGAGGUGGACCCGAGUAUGACGGUGGUGAUGGAGUUGGUGAGGGGGAACUUUUCGGGGGAGAUUUAUAGACGUAAGGUGAUGGUGAAGGUGAGGGAGAUGGUUGUUCUUUGGAUGGAGAUGGGGGAGAUUUGUAGACGUAAGGCGAUGGAGGAGAUUCAGUUGGGGGUGUUGAUGGUGAACUUGAUGGAGGGGGUUUGUAGGUGAAGGGCGAUGGAGGAGUUUCGGGGGAAGAUGAUGUUGGAGGAGGUGUUAGGCAUGCAUUGAUCGGAGGUGAUGGUGGAGGAGGAGGUGUUAGGCAUGCAUUGAUCGGAGGUGAUGGUGAUGGUGAAGUUGAUGGCGGAGACUUAUAGACGUAAGGAGAUGGAGGAGAUUCUUUUGGUGCCGGAGAUGGAGAUGGUGGAGAUUUAUAUACAAAAGGUGAUGGAGGAGAUUCUUUUGGUUUUGGAGAUGGAGAGGGGGAGGAUGAUGGUGGAGAUUUGUAGACAAAAGGAGAUGGAGGGGAUUCUUUAGGAGUUGAAGGAGAAGAGGGUGGUGGUGGGGGACAAGUGUUGAUAUAGUGAGGUGGAGCUUCAUGUGAAGGUGUUGAUGGACUUGGUGAUGGAGAGGAUGAUGGUGGAGAUUUGUAGACAAAAGGGGCAGGACCAGAUUCAGUUGGUGGAGGUGGUGAGACAUACACGUAUUUUUUAGGUGGUGGAGGUGGUGAGACAUACACGUAAGGAGCUUUUUUAGGUGGUGGUGGUGUAGAUGCAACCAGGGGUGCUGGUGGAAUUUCCUUAACUGGUGGAGGUGGGGAGAGAAAGAGGUGAGGUGGAGGCGGGGAAGGUGAAGGUGGAGGCGGGGAAGGUGGUGGUGAAGGCGGGGGAGGUGAGGGUGGAGGUGGCGAAGGUGGUGGUGAAGGCGGGGGAGGUGAGGGUGGAGGAGGCGAAGGUGGUGGUGAAGGCGGGGGAGGUGAGGGCGGAGGAGGUGAAGGUGGUGGAGAAGGCGGUGGAGGUGAAGGUGGAGGAGGCGAAUGUGGUGGUGACGGUGGUGGAGGUGAAGGAGGGGGCGGCGAAUGCACUGGCGGUGGUGGAGAGGGAGUCGAUGGUGGUGGCGGAGAGGUAUAAGUAUACGGCGGAGGGGAGGCCGGUGGUGGUGGAGAAACAUAACUAUAAGCUGGCCUCCCUUCCACCGCAAAACUACUCAAG